GGUGGACCUGCGGAGGGAUCAUUACCGAGUUUAC
This 34-nucleotide ribosomal RNA is filed under the name Fusarium oxysporum. RNAcentral describes it as "partial 18S ribosomal RNA". The record is from RNAcentral. Lineage: Eukaryota; Fungi; Ascomycota; Sordariomycetes; Hypocreales; Nectriaceae.